Molecule: non-coding RNA, 3529 nt
Organism: Ictidomys tridecemlineatus (thirteen-lined ground squirrel)
Lineage: Eukaryota; Metazoa; Chordata; Mammalia; Rodentia; Sciuridae
Source: RefSeq, a predicted model, not a curated record
GAUGAGAAUACACAAGCGACUCAUUGACUUGCACAGCCCUUCUGAGAUUGUUAAACAGAUUACUUCCAUCAGUAUUGAACCAGGAGUGGAAGUCGAAGUCACCAUUGCAGAUGCCUAAGUCAACAACUGUUUUAAUAAAUUGAUAUUCAGUUGUUAAAUUCUGUUGGCUUUUGUUAUUAAUUUUACCUUGCUUUUCAGGUAUCAAAACCAUUUCCUAGAAACCACCAAACCAAUGUAUUUUUGCCCUUAUUUCAAUCUGAAAACUGAAUUCCCCUAAUUCUAGUGUAUGAAACUGCAUUGAUUGUGCAGUUCUAUGUAACAUGGUGGCUCAUAACUUUGGUUACAUGUUGGAAAUUUUAUGCACAGCAUUAAUUCCUAUUCUGAUUUAUUGUAUGGGGUGCAUUAAUCUAUGAAAAAGCUUUAGGGGGAUUCUGAUAUAAAGUUAUAGUGGGCAGGUAGUAAAUUGGGAAAAUGAAGAAAUAAUUUACAGUCCUGGCUUUGCCGAUUUGUUGGCACUUAAUUUUCAAAAUGUUCGGGAAUCAAUAUUGGUUAUAUUUUUUAAUUUUUUUAAUAUUUGUUUUUUUAGUUGUAGUCAGACAUAAUACCCUUUUUUUAUUUUUAUGUGGUGCUGAGGAUUGAACCCAGGGCCCUGCGUGUGCUAGGUGAGUGCUCUACCGCUGAGCCACAAUCCCAGUCCCCCAAAAUUCAAUUCAAUAUUUUUAAAUGUGAAUUUGAACUAUAAAACUUUUUUUGAGAUUAACUGUAACUCAGUGGAUUUCAACAAAUUAUCAGCUUGAGGAAUAGUCAAAACUGGACCAUAACUAUUUCUGGAAGUUAUGCGAUAUGGUGUAGUUAGGUUCCUGAGGAAAGCAAUGACCCGGUUUUAUUAGAAAACCUGAACUUGGUUAGCUCUUCUAGAAAAAGUUUGAAAAAAGGAUUCUCAUUAAUCAAAGACCAGGAAUCAAACCUACAGAUAGGUAGCCCAAUUUUAAGCAGUAUGGAGUGCUAGAGAGCUCAGGUCAUUUUAAAAACUUAAGUACCUUGUUAUGGAAGAUUCUCAAGUAGAUAGAGACUUCGUUAUAUUUUUCUUGGUAUUGGGGGUUGAACCUAGAGCCUGUUAGGCAAGCAGUACACCAGUGAGCUAUACCCCCAGGCCUUUUGUAAUUUUUUAAGACCGGUACUCAGUAAAUUGGCUGCUCUCUAACUUUGGUGUCUUGCCUCAUCCUUGAAUAGCUGGGAUUAAAGGCAUGUGCCACCAUGCCCAGCAGAAGCAGCUUUAACAAUGUUCAGUAUAUUGCAACAUAGAAAGCAAUGAGAUUUGUUCAGUCUCCUAAGAACUGAUUAGAAAAUCUUAAUUCCAUGAAAACACUUAGCCACUUAGAGCCAAAGUAGAAUGAAAAAUAUUUCAGUGAAUCCUAAGAUAACAGUUUUACAGCUUCUGUGGAGUUAUGAGUUUUUAGCAGUUGAAUUUCUUCACAAAUAGGUGAAGGAGUUUGAUUAAAGCUUUAGGUAAUACUUUUGGAAUCCUGUCAGUCAAAAUACACCACUUAAAAUGUUGGGAACUGCUGUUAACCAAUUUCUCAAAACAUUUAAAAAUGCAUACUUGGAAACAAUCCCUGCCAGGGGUUAGGACUAUAAGAAAGGAAGGAUGGGUUCAAUUGUAAUGAUGCCCAUCCAUUAUAUAUAAAUCUGUUUCAUUUUUUAUUUAAUUGGUGCAUUAUGGUAAAGAUGAGAUUUGUUGUUACAUACUGGUACAUGCACACAAUUUAACAAUCUUUAGCUAGUAUUUUUCCCCAGCACCUGCCUCUUGCUUCCCAACCUCUGGUCCCUUUUCUCUACUGAUCUCCCUUUGGUUUCAUGGGAUCCUUGACCCCUCCACCUUUCUUUUUCCUCUCUAGUUUACACAUUUGAGAGACAGCAUAUGACCUUUGAUCUUCCGUUUGUCUUUGAUCUUCUGUUUGUAAUUAAGGUCUCUAGUUCUAUCCAUUUUACUAUAAAUGGCAUAAUUUCAUUUUUCCAUGGAUGCCCAGGGUUUUAGAAUGUUAACAGGUUUUUGUAUGGAGGGGGAGUUACAGGAAGGUUUAAAAUGGGAACCUCUCUAGUCAGUCACCUUAGGAUUUAGAAUACUGCUUUGCUUUUGUUUUAGAAAUAUGACCUAGCAAUUACCAUGGAAAUUAAAACCACCAUGACUGUUCAUUGCUGGAUCAGACUUCUUAAUCUGACGUCCUCAGAAGAUCUGUGUGUGCUCUGGAUGGAAAUGAAUAGGAAAGAAGAUGCAAACGUGAAAAGCCCUGUUCUAGAAUUAUUACGCACUUCCUUGAUGCAUUUUCAUGAUUGUUGGUUGAUUUCCUGUUCUGAAAUUACCUGUGCAUUUAUCACUGGGAAACACAAGAGGCAACGCAACUACCUAUAGCUGUCUUUGCUGUUCCUGCAAAAACCGAAUAACAAUGUGCAAUGACCAAUUACCAAACUUUGAAAGAAGUGGUAUGAUUAAUUAUUAUGUGCAUAUUAUUUACUUAGUGACUUAGGGACUAAAUAGCUAACAAUAAAGUUUAUACUUUGUGCAAUUACUUACAGUGAAUAAGUCAAGAUUACCAAUCUUUGAACUGUGUUAUUGGAGGACUUAUAUUCACCUAAACUGUCAGAACUGAAAUUCAUGCUUAUCAGAACCUUGAAAAUGUUGUUCUGCAUAUCUUUGUACAUAGGACUCUGCACAAUGUUUGGGAAAUCCUCCCUCCCUCACUCCCUCUCCAAGUUGUUCCAGAACAACAGGAAUCAGGCAUGGCAAAUGAUCGCAGCAUGUGAGAUAACUGGUGCAACCAGUGACUGUCACUUUCUUUCACCAAAUGAGGCAGCCAUUCCUGAUGGAGGGACAAGUCACCCUGAGUGCUAAGGCUGCUGCUGAUACUGCCCUUCCGUGGCUGUGUAGAAAUCAUCCAGGACACUCUGAGGAGUCUGUCGACCCCAGCACCCAAGACAGUGCAGCUUCUAGCUCCUCUCACACACGGCUCUGGCUCCCAGCCAUGAUUUGGCUUGUCCUGCAUGUGCUCUGUGGACUGUUGGCUCAGCACACAGACCUGGCUGCUGUCACCCGAGAAGCUACGUGAUGCUUUAGACAAAUAAUGAAGUGUUGUGUGGAUGACCUGGCUCUGGAAGUCUUGCUUGAGUGCUCUUGUGUUCAUUCUAAUGACUAUGGCUUUCCUGAGAAAUUGGCAAAUAACAGGCUGUCUAGUUUGGUGAGCACCCUCCGCCCCCCUUUAAUGAGAGGCACCCACAUUUGAGUCAAAUGACUGAGGGAAAAAAAGGAAUCAAAGGAACCUCACGGAGGAGCUGAAUGUGAUCUCUCAAGCAAAGCUAAAAUCUACCCCAGGAAAUUCCAGCCCAAAUGAGAAACUGGAACUGAAAAUGUAACCUGUCUUCGAAUUGGCUAGCUGGAAAACAUUUGUCAUCAAGACAGGCAGUGAGAAAGAUUAAAUUUUUAAAAUCUGCCAAAAAAGCAGGAAAGAAUAAAAAUCUGAUUUUUCCUGUC